CACGUCGGGAGUGAAAACCCGGGGCUCAACCCCAGGCCUGCUUCCGAUACGGGCGGACUAGAGGUAGGCAGGGGAGAGUGGAAUUCCUGGUGUAGCGGUGAAAUGCGCAGAUAUCAAGAGGAACACCGAUGGCGAAGGCAGGUCUCUGGGCCAUAACUGACGCUGAGAAGCGAAAGCAUGGGGAGCAAACAGGAUUAGAUACCCUGGUAGUCCAUGCCGUAAACGUUGGGCGCUAGGUGUGGGGCUCAUUCCACGAGUUCCGUGCCGCAGCUAACGCAUUAAGCGCCCCGCCUGGGGAGUACGGCCGCAAGGCUAAAACUCAAAGGAAUUGACGGGGGCCCGCACAAGCGGCGGAGCAUGCGGAUUAAUUCGAUGCAACGCGAAGAACCUUACCAAGGCUUGACAUGCACCGGACGACUGCAGAGAUGUGGUUUCCCUUUGUGGCUGGUGUGCAGGUGGUGCAUGGUUGUCGUCAGCUCGUGUCGUGAGAUGUUGGGUUAAGUCCCGCAACGAGCGCAACCCUCGUUCCAUGUUGCCAGCGGGUUAUGCCGGGGACUCAUGGGAGACUGCCGGGGUCAACUCGGAGGAAGGUGGGGAUGACGUCAAAUCAUCAUGCCCCUUAUGUCUUGGGCUUCACGCAUGCUACAAUGGCUGGUACAGAGGGCUGCAAUACCGUGAGGUGGAGCGAAUCCCUUAAAACUGGUCUCAGUUCGGAUUGGGGUCUGCAACUCGACCCCAUGAAGUCGGAGUCGCUAG
This 756-nucleotide ribosomal RNA is filed under the name uncultured Actinomycetes bacterium. RNAcentral describes it as "bacterial SSU rRNA". It matches the Rfam family "Bacterial small subunit ribosomal RNA", at positions 584 to 1338 of the family's 1533-position model. Lineage: Bacteria; Bacillati; Actinomycetota; Actinomycetes. The record is from RNAcentral.